AAUAGGCUAAUUAAGAGCGUAAGGGGAAUGCCUUGGCUCUCAGAGGCGAUGAAGGACGUGAUAAGCUGCGAUAAGCUGUGGGGAGUGGCACAAACACUUUGAUCCGCAGAUUUCCGAAUGGGGCAACCCGGCAUAUUGAAGAUAUGUCACACUGUAAAGUGAGCAAACCUGGUGAACUGAAACAUCUAAGUAACCAGAGGAAUAGAAAACAAAAGUGAUUCCGCUAGUAGUGGCGAGCGAACGUGGAACAGCCCAAACCUAUGUUGUUACGGCAAUAUAGGGGUUGUAGGACCUCAACAUUUAAUGCUAAUAGAACUAGAAUUUACUG
RNAcentral lists this ribosomal RNA (328 nucleotides) under uncultured Flavobacteriaceae bacterium. RNAcentral's name for it is "bacterial LSU rRNA". It matches the Rfam family "Bacterial large subunit ribosomal RNA", at positions 1 to 344 of the family's 2925-position model. Lineage: Bacteria; Pseudomonadati; Bacteroidota; Flavobacteriia; Flavobacteriales; Flavobacteriaceae. The record is from RNAcentral.